This 492-nucleotide ribosomal RNA is filed under the name uncultured bacterium. RNAcentral describes it as "partial 16S ribosomal RNA". It matches the Rfam family "Bacterial small subunit ribosomal RNA", at positions 29 to 507 of the family's 1533-position model. The record is from RNAcentral.
AGUGAACGCUGGCGGUAGGCCUAACACAUGCAAGUCGAACGGCAGCACAGUAAGAGCUUGCUCUUACGGGUGGCGAGUGGCGGACGGGUGAGGAAUACAUCGGAAUCUACUUUUUCGUGGGGGAUAACGUAGGGAAACUUACGCUAAUACCGCAUACGACCUACGGGUGAAAGCAGGGGAUCUUCGGACCUUUCGCGAUUGUAUUAGCCGAUGUCGGAUUAGCUAGUUGGCGGGGUAAAGGCCCACCAAGGCGACGAUCCGUAGCAGGUCUGAGAGGAUGAUCAGCCACACUGGAACUGAGACACGGUCCAGACUCCUACGGGAGGCAGCAGUGGGGAAUAUUGCACAAUGGGCGCAAGCCUGAUCCAGCAAUACCGCGUGAGUGAAGAAGGCCUUCGGGUUGUAAAGCCCUGUUGUUGGGAAAGAAAAGCAGCAGGUUAAUACCCCGCUGUUCUGACGGUACCCAAAGAAUAAGCACCGGCUAACUUCGUG